This 116-nucleotide ribosomal RNA is filed under the name Pteropus alecto (black flying fox). Lineage: Eukaryota; Metazoa; Chordata; Mammalia; Chiroptera; Pteropodidae. The record is from RNAcentral.
GUCUAUGGCCAUGCCACCAUGAACAAGCCCAAUGUCUGAUCUUGGAAGCUAAGCAGGAUCGAGCCUAGUUAGUACUUGGAUGGGAGACCACCUAGGAAGACCAAAUGCUGUAGGCG